RNAcentral lists this ribosomal RNA (442 nucleotides) under uncultured bacterium. Its description in RNAcentral is "bacterial SSU rRNA". It matches the Rfam family "Bacterial small subunit ribosomal RNA", at positions 339 to 796 of the family's 1533-position model. The record is from RNAcentral.
CUACGGGAGGCAGCAGUUGGGAAUCUUGCACAAUGGGGGAAACCCUGAUGCAGCGACGCCGCGUGGAGGAUGAAGAUUCUAGGAUUGUAAACUCCUUUUUCAGGGAAAGACUUAGGACGGUACCCUGAGAAUAAGCACCGGCUAACUACGUGCCAGCAGCCGCGGUAAGACGUAGGGUGCAAGCGUUGUCCGGAUUUACUGGGCGUAAAGCGCGCGUAGGCGGUCUGUUAAGUGAGAAGUGAAAUCUCCAGGGCUCAACCCGGAAACUGCUUUUCAUACUGGCAGACUUGAGGAAUGCAGAGGCAACUAGAAUUCCUGGUGUAGCGGUGACAUGCAUUGAUAUCAGGAGGAAUACCCAUGGCAAAGGCAGGUUGCUGGGCAUUAUCUGACGCUGAGGCGCGAAAGCGUGGGUAGCAAACAGGAUUAGAAACCCUAGUAGUCC